This 946-nucleotide ribosomal RNA is filed under the name Acinetobacter sp. RNAcentral describes it as "bacterial SSU rRNA". It matches the Rfam family "Bacterial small subunit ribosomal RNA", at positions 75 to 1016 of the family's 1533-position model. Lineage: Bacteria; Pseudomonadati; Pseudomonadota; Gammaproteobacteria; Moraxellales; Moraxellaceae. The record is from RNAcentral.
GUAGCUUGCUACCUGACCUAGCGGCGGACGGGUGAGUAAUGCUUAGGAAUCUGCCUAUUAGUGGGGGACAACAUCUCGAAAGGGAUGCUAAUACCGCAUACGUCCUACGGGAGAAAGCAGGGGACCUUCGGGCCUUGCGCUAAUAGAUGAGCCUAAGUCGGAUUAGCUAGUUGGUGGGGUAAAGGCCUACCAAGGCGACGAUCUGUAGCGGGUCUGAGAGGAUGAUCCGCCACACUGGGACUGAGACACGGCCCAGACUCCUACGGGAGGCAGCAGUGGGGAAUAUUGGACAAUGGGGGGAACCCUGAUCCAGCCAUGCCGCGUGUGUGAAGAAGGCCUUUUGGUUGUAAAGCACUUUAAGCGAGGAGGAGGCUACCGAGAUUAAUACUCUUGGAUAGUGGACGUUACUCGCAGAAUAAGCACCGGCUAACUCUGUGCCAGCAGCCGCGGUAAUACAGAGGGUGCAAGCGUUAAUCGGAUUUACUGGGCGUAAAGCGCGCGUAGGUGGCCAAUUAAGUCAAAUGUGAAAUCCCCGAGCUUAACUUGGGAAUUGCAUUCGAUACUGGUUGGCUAGAGUAUGGGAGAGGAUGGUAGAAUUCCAGGUGUAGCGGUGAAAUGCGUAGAGAUCUGGAGGAAUACCGAUGGCGAAGGCAGCCAUCUGGCCUAAUACUGACACUGAGGUGCGAAAGCAUGGGGAGCAAACAGGAUUAGAUACCCUGGUAGUCCAUGCCGUAAACGAUGUCUACUAGCCGUUGGGGCCUUUGAGGCUUUAGUGGCGCAGCUAACGCGAUAAGUAGACCGCCUGGGGAGUACGGUCGCAAGACUAAAACUCAAAUGAAUUGACGGGGGCCCGCACAAGCGGUGGAGCAUGUGGUUUAAUUCGAUGCAACGCGAAGAACCUUACCUGGUCUUGACAUAGUAAGAACUUUCCAGAGAUGGAUUGGUG